RNAcentral lists this ribosomal RNA (1949 nucleotides) under Escherichia coli. RNAcentral describes it as "partial 23S ribosomal RNA". It matches the Rfam family "Bacterial large subunit ribosomal RNA", at positions 165 to 2136 of the family's 2925-position model. Lineage: Bacteria; Pseudomonadati; Pseudomonadota; Gammaproteobacteria; Enterobacterales; Enterobacteriaceae. The record is from RNAcentral.
CAUAGGUUAAUGAGGCGAACCGGGGGAACUGAAACAUCUAAGUACCCCGAGGAAAAGAAAUCAACCGAGAUUCCCCCAGUAGCGGCGAGCGAACGGGGAGCAGCCCAGAGCCUGAAUCAGUGUGUGUGUUAGUGGAAGCGUCUGGAAAGGCGCGCGAUACAGGGUGACAGCCCCGUACACAAAAAUGCACAUGCUGUGAGCUCGAUGAGUAGGGCGGGACACGUGGUAUCCUGUCUGAAUAUGGGGGGACCAUCCUCCAAGGCUAAAUACUCCUGACUGACCGAUAGUGAACCAGUACCGUGAGGGAAAGGCGAAAAGAACCCCGGCGAGGGGAGUGAAAAAGAACCUGAAACCGUGUACGUACAAGCAGUGGGAGCACAGAGCAAUCUGUGUGACUGCGUACCUUUUGUAUAAUGGGUCAGCGACUUAUAUUCUGUAGCAAGGUUAACCGAAUAGGGGAGCCGAAGGGAAACCGAGUCUUAACUGGGCGUUAAGUUGCAGGGUAUAGACCCGAAACCCGGUGAUCUAGCCAUGGGCAGGUUGAAGGUUGGGUAACACUAACUGGAGGACCGAACCGACUAAUGUUGAAAAAUUAGCGGAUGACUUGUGGCUGGGGGUGAAAGGCCAAUCAAACCGGGAGAUAGCUGGUUCUCCCCGAAAGCUAUUUAGGUAGCGCCUCGUGAAUUCAUCUCCGGGGGUAGAGCACUGUUUCGGCAAGGGGGUCAUCCCGACUUACCAACCCGAUGCAAACUGCGAAUACCGGAGAAUGUUAUCACGGGAGACACACGGCGGGUGCUAACGUCCGUCGUGAAGAGGGAAACAACCCAGACCGCCAGCUAAGGUCCCAAAGUCAUGGUUAAGUGGGAAACGAUGUGGGAAGGCCCAGACAGCCAGGAUGUUGGCUUAGAAGCAGCCAUCAUUUAAAGAAAGCGUAAUAGCUCACUGGUCGAGUCGGCCUGCGCGGAAGAUGUAACGGGGCUAAACCAUGCACCGAAGCUGCGGCAGCGACGCUUAUGCGUUGUUGGGUAGGGGAGCGUUCUGUAAGCCUGUGAAGGUGUACUGUGAGGUAUGCUGGAGGUAUCAGAAGUGCGAAUGCUGACAUAAGUAACGAUAAAGCGGGUGAAAAGCCCGCUCGCCGGAAGACCAAGGGUUCCUGUCCAACGUUAAUCGGGGCAGGGUGAGUCGACCCCUAAGGCGAGGCCGAAAGGCGUAGUCGAUGGGAAACAGGUUAAUAUUCCUGUACUUGGUGUUACUGCGAAGGGGGGACGGAGAAGGCUAUGUUGGCCGGGCGACGGUUGUCCCGGUUUAAGCGUGUAGGCUGGUUUUCCAGGCAAAUCCGGAAAAUCAAGGCUGAGGCGUGAUGACGAGGCACUACGGUGCUGAAGCAACAAAUGCCCUGCUUCCAGGAAAAGCCUCUAAGCAUCAGGUAACAUCAAAUCGUACCCCAAACCGACACAGGUGGUCAGGUAGAGAAUACCAAGGCGCUUGAGAGAACUCGGGUGAAGGAACUAGGCAAAAUGGUGCCGUAACUUCGGGAGAAGGCACGCUGAUAUGUAGGUGAAGUCCCUCGCGGAUGGAGCUGAAAUCAGUCGAAGAUACCAGCUGGCUGCAACUGUUUAUUAAAAACACAGCACUGUGCAAACACGAAAGUGGACGUAUACGGUGUGACGCCUGCCCGGUGCCGGAAGGUUAAUUGAUGGGGUCAGCGCAAGCGAAGCUCUUGAUCGAAGCCCCGGUAAACGGCGGCCGUAACUAUAACGGUCCUAAGGUAGCGAAAUUCCUUGUCGGGUAAGUUCCGACCUGCACGAAUGGCGUAAUGAUGGCCAGGCUGUCUCCACCCGAGACUCAGUGAAAUUGAACUCGCUGUGAAGAUGCAGUGUACCCGCGGCAAGACGGAAAGACCCCGUGAACCUUUACUAUAGCUUGACACUGAACAUUGAGCCUUGAUG